Molecule: long non-coding RNA, 951 nt
Filed under: Mytilus galloprovincialis (Mediterranean mussel)
Lineage: Eukaryota; Metazoa; Mollusca; Bivalvia; Mytilida; Mytilidae
Source: RNAcentral
AAACAUGUGUAUUUUCAUUCAAGCACCUGUUAUCGGCUAUGAUUCGAUUUUGGGCUAUUUUAAAGUUUGACACCGGUUCUCACCUUUUUAAUUCAAUUCAUUAUGCUUUCAGUGUUCUAUGUAAUCCGUUUUCCAAGUGUAAAACCAUUUUUAUUGUUGUAGAAUUGAGAUAACUUAUGUAGUUAACUUUCACUUUCACUUCAGCACAAUGAUUUUUGUGUAUUGAUUAUGCAAAUGAGGUGAACUGUGUGAAACCUCAGGUGAACUUUAUGUACCACAAGCGUAAAACAGUGUAUGAAUACUAUAGCGGUUGUAGAUCGAUUAUUACAAGAUUAUUGUAUCAAAACAUUAUUUAUUAGGAUUGUAAAUUGUAUUAAGAUGAUUUUUAUGUUCCGUAAACAUGUUGUUUACGUUUUUAUGUACUUAAUUCUAGCUAUCGGGGAUUAUUUUCGUUCUUGUCAGGCCCGUUCCCAGUUCCCCGUUCGUUUCCCCGUUAAGAACCGUUCGUUACCCCGAUAAUUUCAUCGAGGUAUAAAAAGCUUGCACCUGUUUGUCAGGGGCUCUUCCUCCUUAGUCAGACCUACAGAUAUGUUGCCAGAUUUUCGGUCAGUUGAUACUGUCGAUUAUUCAAUAUUCGCUGAAGUUUAGCAUAUUUUUAUCAUGUAUUUCAUGAGAUUCUAAGCAGUUUUACUGCAGUUUAGAACUUUUUGGACGUUUUCUGUUCAGAGGGUGGUAAAGGGUUAUUUUCGUGCAACGUUUUCGGCCAUUUUAUUUCACGUAUUUUCGUGUUUUGACGUUUUAUUUCUCGUUUUCUCGUGUUUGCCUCGAUUUGCGUGCUGCUUCGUGUUUCCCCUUAUUUAUUUUCCGUGUUUCGUGUCGGUGCUCUUAAUUUCUCGUGCAUGUCCCGAAUUUGUUAAAAAAAAGUCAGUGUGUUGUAAUACCUUCUGAAAC